This 433-nucleotide ribosomal RNA is filed under the name uncultured bacterium. Its description in RNAcentral is "partial 16S ribosomal RNA". It matches the Rfam family "Bacterial small subunit ribosomal RNA", at positions 29 to 507 of the family's 1533-position model. The record is from RNAcentral.
AACGAACGCUGGCGGCAUGCCUAACACAUGCAAGUCGAACGAGACCUUCGGGUCUAGUGGCGCACGGGUGCGUAACGCGUGGGAACCUGCCCUUAGGUUCGGAAUAACUCCCCGAAAGGGGUGCUAAUACCGGAUAAUGUCUUCGGACCAAAGAUUUAUCGCCUUUGGAUGGGCCCGCGUUGGAUUAUCUAGUUGGUAGGGUAAAAGCCUACCAAGGCGACGAUCCAUAGCUGGUCUGAGAGGAUGAUCAGCCACACUGGGACUGAGACACGGCCCAGACUCCUACGGGAGGCAGCAGUGGGGAAUAUUGGACAAUGGGCGAAAGCCUGAUCCAGCAAUGCCGCGUGAGUGAUGAAGGCCUUAGGGUUGUAAAGCUCUUUUACCCGGGAUGAUAAUGACAGUACCGGGAGAAUAAGCUCCGGCUAACUCCGUG